Long non-coding RNA from Cyprinus carpio carpio, 805 nucleotides. The record is from Ensembl. NCBI's taxonomy places the organism in Eukaryota, Metazoa, Chordata, Actinopteri, Cypriniformes, Cyprinidae.
GUGUGUUUUUAGUAUUAGUAUUUUGUAUUUAUUUUUGUGUGUAAGGCUUGUUCGAGGUGCAUCAGUGCUGCGCAGAUUCGUCUGACAUCAAAGUACCACGAGAGUAAUUUAAAAGUAUCAAGAGUCGUCUGCUCUUCAAUCACUCUCGCGGUAUUUUGAUGUCAUACGUCGAUCGGUCUGCGCAGCGCCGAUGCAUCAGACCUCGAGUGUCGUCAUAAUUUAUUCGCGAAUCGGACGUUACGGCUCGCGCUGUGUUCGAUACUGCAUUUGGAAACAUGGCGUGCAAUCUGAAUUUGAAAUCAACACCACCUUCGGUUUUGUACAUUGAUAAAUACAGCAUUGAAGCAUGACAUUCAGCAUGCGUCUCUUAUGCGGCCUUCACUACAAAGUCGUAUUUACAACCGAGAAAUUAUCCCAGAGGUUGGAAGGGAAGGGCGUGUCGAUGGGAAACAUGGCGCAAAACAGGUUGUGAGUCACCUGGGGAUUCCUGACUGUGCUUUCCCAUUGUUUCUCUGUCCUCUCUCUUGAGAGGUCUUUCCUCAAUCAUCUCUUUUAUACCCAUGAUGGAGAAGACUAGACAGAGAAAGGAAGAAGUUAGGAUGAGUGAGGAAGAAAACAGUGGAACGAAAUAAAAAAAAAAGGUCACAAGGCAGCAGAGGAGUGUCAUGCACCUGGUUUUAUUAUAUAUAUAUAUAUAUAUAGUAAAUAUCUGACUUUAAUGUGAAAUGAAAGUAUGAAAGAGUACAUUGAGUUGUGCUUGUACAGCACAAUGUCAAAAACAUACUAUGAUAUUCAGAAUAAAAUA